CUUCCGUCGUCAUGCCCGUGCGUUCCCCUGUGCUAAUGUAAAUCCACCUUCGCUAAUAACCCACACACACGCUGCUAAACUGGAUUUAUAGGCUAGCUUCAAACACCCGUCCUUAAAACCUUUUCACAUAUUAUGAAUGAACGCCAUUUCUCCUAUAGCCUUUUAGAAUCCCUUUCUCUAAAGAAACCCACAUUGAAAUGAUUCUCAUGGCUGGAUCAGGAAGCUGUUGCAUGGUUGUGAUGUACUUUAACAGGAAACGUGGGUUACAGUGGAUCCUGUGCCAGUAACACUGGGGUCAAGGCAGGAGAAUUUAUCUUGGAUGGCCUCACAGUCCACCGCAGGGCACCACACUCAUUCACACUUGGGUCAAUCAGCCAAUCUGCCUACCUGCAUAUUUUUGGACAGUGGGAGGAAACAAGAGAACCUGGAGAAAACCCACAUAGACACAGGGAGAACAUAGGAAACAAAAAGUCACACAAACUCAGGACCAGACAGGGCAACAAAAGGCUGGAAAAGUAAGCGUUCCUAAAAAGAAACAGCUGGUGGAAGAUUUUUCAAAUAAUUGGGUUGAUUGGCAACAGGCCAGUAACAUGAUUGGGCAUAAAAAGAGUAUCUUAGAGAGACAGAGUCUUUCAGAAGUAAAGAUGGGCAGAAGUUAACCAAUGUGCAAAAAACUAAAAAUUGUGGAACAAUUUCAGAAUAAUGUUCAUUAACAUAAAUCUCAUCAUCUAGUACAUAAUAUCUUCAAAAGAUUCAGAGAAUUUGGAGAAAUCUCUGUGCGCAAGGGACAAGGGUUAAAAUCAAUACUGCAUGCCCGUGAUCUUCGGGCUCUCAGGUGGCACUGCAUUAAAACCAGGCAUGAUUCUGUAAUGGAAAUCGCUGCAUGGGCUCAGAAACACCUCCAGAACUCAUUGUCUGUGAACACAGUUCGCCGUGCCCCAUCCACAAAUGCCGGUUAAAGCUCUAUCAUGCAAAGAAGCCAUAUGUGAACAUGAUCCAGAAACACCACAGUCUUCUCUGUGCCAAAGCUCAUUUAAAAUGGACUGGGGCAAAGAGGAAAACUGUUCUCUGAUUAGACGACUCAAAAAUUUAAAUUCUUUUUGGAAAUCAUGGACGCGGCCUCUAAACUAAAGAGGACUAAAGAGGAGAGGGACCAUCCGGCUUUUGAUCAGCUUUCAGUUCAAAAAUCUGCAUCUCUGAUGGUAUGGGGUACAUUAAUGCCUAUGGAAUGGACAGCUUGCACAUCUGGAAAGGUGCCAUCAUUGCUGAAAGGUAUGUACAGGUUUUAGAGUAACAUCCAGAUUCCCAUUUUUACUUCUGAAAGAUUCUGCCUUUUUAUACCCAAUCAUGUUACUGUUGCCAUUUAACCUAAUUAGUUGCAAAAUGUUCCUCCAGCUGUUCUUUUCUGGCAUCAGUUACCUUUCCCGCCUUUUGUUGCCUCGUCCCAACUUUUUUUUGAGACGUAUUUCAGCCAUCAUAUCAAAAUUACCUUAUUGUUUCCUCAGUUUAAACAUUUGAUAUGUUUUCUAUGUUCUAUUGUGAAUAAAAU
This is a long non-coding RNA of Ictalurus punctatus (channel catfish), 1549 nucleotides long. The record is from Ensembl. NCBI's taxonomy places the organism in Eukaryota, Metazoa, Chordata, Actinopteri, Siluriformes, Ictaluridae.